CAGCAGCCGCCACGGUAAUACAGAGGGUGCGAGCGUUAAUCGGAUUUACUGGGCGUAAAGCGUGCGUAGGCGGCUUCUUAAGUCGGAUGUGAAAUCCCUGAGCUUAACUUAGGAAUUGCAUUCGAUACUGGGAAGCUAGAGUAUGGGAGAGGAUGGUAGAAUUCCAGGUGUAGCGGUGAAAUGCGUAGAGAUCUGGAGGAAUACCGAUGGCGAAGGCAGCCAUCUGGCCUAAUACUGACGCUGAGGUACGAAAGCAUGGGGAGCAAACAGGAUUAGAUACCCCAGUAGUCCCUGUCUCUUAUAC
Molecule: ribosomal RNA, 304 nt
Filed under: uncultured bacterium
Lineage: Bacteria
Description: partial 16S ribosomal RNA
Rfam family: Bacterial small subunit ribosomal RNA
Source: RNAcentral